ACUGACCAGGCAAUUCUCUCUCAUGGUUCAGACUUGGGCCGAGGUGGGUCCACAGCUGUAACUGCAAUUUUGAUUAAUGGUCGAAGAUUAUGGGUUGCUAACGUUGGGGAUUCUAGAGCUGUAGUUUCAAGAGCGGGUCAGGCAAUUCAAAUGAGUACAGAUCAUGAACCUAACAAUGAACGAGGAAGCAUAGAGGACAGGGGUGGCUUUGUCUCAAACAUGCCA
Molecule: unclassified non-coding RNA, 225 nt
Filed under: Hevea brasiliensis (rubber tree)
Lineage: Eukaryota; Viridiplantae; Streptophyta; Magnoliopsida; Malpighiales; Euphorbiaceae
Source: RNAcentral